AGAAAUGUUACAGGGAUUGUGCUCCACCUUUCUCCUUCCUGCUGGGAUAUCCUUUCUGUAGAGAAAUGUAAACAUAUCAAGCUGAGUCUACGCUGGUUGCAGAAGUGCGCCACUAUUUUCGUAUUUUUAUGACAUAUGAGUUACUCAGCCAAAGAAAUUAUGUUGAAAGUCCAACACUAAGUUCCGUGAAUAUUCCAUGAAUAUCAGCUCUUGGAAAGAAAACAGUGAUAGAUCAGGAGGAUGCAUUACUGGACUUAACAAGCCAUGGACACCCAUGAAUCCACAUGAUGAAAAUUGAGAGGAUGGAGGCAGAGAGACACAGAGAUGGAGAGAGAUGGAAGGAAAGAGUGCUGCUGCUAUCGGAGCCUUCUCUGCAUUUCCCCUUCUUCGAGAGAUUAUCCUUGCAGAGCCCUGCAGGAUCCUGGGGACUAGGGACAGGAAGGGACUCUGAAACUCUGCCUGAAAUAGAAAACAGCACAAGAGGCUGCUAUUCCACAAAGUCCCAGGAAGAGUGGGAAAAAGAGAGGAAAAAAAACAUUAAUGUAGGAAGUAAAUCUGCUCAGCGUUUUAUCCCAACAUCCUGUCCUCCUGCUGCUUUUUAUAUGACCUUUUGCACUGCACAGAAUUCAUUACUAUUGUAAAAAACACGGUUUUGUUUCUUAGAAAAUUUCAAGAAAUGUGUGAUCUGUUUUAAAGUAGACAGGAUUCACAAGUGGCAAAAAUAUGUGUUCUUCCAAAUCCUUUUCCUUCAUUAUCAGCUCCAGAAGUUUGCUAAUUAGACCCACUAAACAAAAACACCUCAGCAAUAACACAGUGCAGAAGGAACGGAGAAAACUUCAUAAUUGCAAUUUUAUUUAUUAUUUCACUGCAGGACAGCACAGGAACCUUAACCAGGUCAAGACUUCAUUGUGUCAGGUGCUGUACACACAAAAAAAUAGCAGUUCCUGCUCCAGGAAACGUGAAAUUUUUGCAUGUAUUUAUAGCCAAGCUUGUGGCCCCAUGGUAACUCAUUUAGUGAUUACCUCCACAAAUGCUAGUGAAGGCACCCAGAAACAUAUUUUGCAGGGUACAAACAUCUGUGGUUUCCCUGAGGCUGAAGCCCAGUGUACUUUCCCUGCCACAGAAGGGUAAUAGGGCCUUAGAGUAAAUGGAGUGGAAUAAGGACCAAAACACUUUGUGUUCUUUAAAUGAAAGGCACUUUAUACACACACGUAUGUUUACUGAAAGGCCUUUCAAAGAGGCAUAAUUAUGCAGGCAUCUCUGUGUAAUUCGCCUGGGUCAAUGCUAAUGUUGGAAAGUACUUAUUCUGUGG
This is a long non-coding RNA of Gallus gallus (chicken), 1312 nucleotides long. NCBI's taxonomy places the organism in Eukaryota, Metazoa, Chordata, Aves, Galliformes, Phasianidae. The record is from Ensembl.